Molecule: ribosomal RNA, 496 nt
Filed under: uncultured bacterium
Lineage: Bacteria
Description: bacterial SSU rRNA
Rfam family: Bacterial small subunit ribosomal RNA
Source: RNAcentral
CGUGGCGGCGUGACCUAACACUAUGACAGUCGUACGAGUAAGUGGCGUCGGCCGAUGAGUAAGUGGCGCGACGGUGAGUAAUGCGUGGAUAAUCUGCCCUUUAGUUGGGAAUAACGUACCGAAAGGUGCGCUAAUACCUGAUAAUACUGCAUAACUACUGUUGUGUAGUCAAAGAAGGCCUCUGUUUACAAGCUUUUGCUGAAGGAUGAGUCCGCGUACCAUUAGCUGGUUGGUGGGGUAAUGGCCUACCAAGGCUACGAUGGUUAGCUGGUCUGAGAGGAUGAUCAGCCACACUGGAACUGAGACACGGUCCAGACUCCUACGGGAGGCAGCAGUGAGGAAUAUUGCGCAAUGGGGGCAACCCUGACGCAGCAACGCCGCGUGAGUGAGGAAGGUUUUCGGACCGUAAAGCUCUGUCGAGCGGGAAGAAAUGUAUCAUGGCUAAUAUCCAUGAUACUUGACGGUACCGCUAAAGGAAGCACCGGCUAACUCCGUG